GAGGGUAUAGCUCAGGGGUAGAGUGCCUGCUUAGCAUAUAUGAGGUCCUGGGUUCAAUCCCCAGUAUCUCCG
RNAcentral lists this transfer RNA (72 nucleotides) under Camelus bactrianus (Bactrian camel). It matches the Rfam family "tRNA". From Rfam's summary of the family: Transfer RNA (tRNA) molecules are approximately 80 nucleotides in length. Their secondary structure includes four short double-helical elements and three loops (D, anti-codon, and T loops). The record is from Rfam by way of RNAcentral. Lineage: Eukaryota; Metazoa; Chordata; Mammalia; Artiodactyla; Camelidae. RNAcentral also lists the same sequence under 2 other names.